This 414-nucleotide ribosomal RNA is filed under the name uncultured microorganism. RNAcentral's name for it is "bacterial SSU rRNA". It matches the Rfam family "Archaeal small subunit ribosomal RNA", at positions 459 to 872 of the family's 1478-position model. The record is from RNAcentral.
CAGCAGCCUCGGUAAUACCGGCGGCCCGAGUGGCGGUCACUAUUAUUGGGCUUAAAGCGUCCGUAGCCGGGUUGGGGAAUCCUCCGGGAAAUCUGGCCGCUUAACGGUCAGAAUGCCGGAGGAUACUCCCAGCCUAGGGAGCGGGAGAGGCCGAGGGUAUUCCCGGAGUAGGGGGGAAAUCCUAUAAUCCCGGGAGGACCACCGGUGGCGAAGGCGCUCGGCUGGAACGCGUCCGACGGUGAGGGACGAAGGCCAGGGGAGCAAACCGGAUUAGAUACCCGGGUAGUCCUGGCUGUAAACGAUGCGGACUUUGUGUCGGACAAGCUAUGAGCUUGUCCGGUGCCGGAGGGAAACCGUUAAGUCCGCCGCCUGGGGAGUACGGCCGCAAGGCUGAAACUUAAAGGAAUUGGCGGG